AUGUCAAAGCGGGACAAACCCCAUAGGAUUUUUCUUUCAGCGAAAACAACCCCAUGUCAAAGCCUGCGGAAAGGCUUCGAUGACCGGUGGGUGACGCGGGUUAUGCAGAUGGUCUCGUGUGGUCGCACUGCCGUUAACAUCAAUAGGGAGAUCGACCCCUACUUCCCCACUUUCUGCGGGGUGAGGCAGGGUGAUCCAUUCUCCCCGUUCCUGUUUAAUAUGGUGGUUGAUGCUCUUGCGGCCAUUUUGGACAAGGCUAAGGCCGCGGGCCAUAUUUGUGGAAUCACCCCCCACUUGACUGGGGCGUUGGCAUCUCCCUACUCCAGUACGCUGACGACACCAUCAUCAUGGUCGAAGGCUCGGAUACGGACAUCGCUAGCCUUAAAUUCCUCCUCCUCUGCUUCCAACAAAUGUCUGGUCUUAAGAUCAACUUCGACAAGAGCGAUGUGA
Molecule: ribosomal RNA, 450 nt
Filed under: Triticum aestivum (bread wheat)
Lineage: Eukaryota; Viridiplantae; Streptophyta; Magnoliopsida; Poales; Poaceae
Description: partial small subunit ribosomal RNA
Source: RNAcentral